This 1315-nucleotide long non-coding RNA is filed under the name Panax ginseng (ginseng). RNAcentral's name for it is "long non-coding RNA (PGIN_LNC010277)". The record is from RNAcentral. Lineage: Eukaryota; Viridiplantae; Streptophyta; Magnoliopsida; Apiales; Araliaceae.
GUUGGAUUAAGAGUAAUAAAUAUUCAACAUUAUCAUUCAUAUAUAUUAUAUAUAAUAUGAAUGAUUUGUGUACAAAAGUAUGUAUAAUAAAUAUACAUAUAUAAAUGAUUAUUUAUUUGAUAUAUAUAUAUAUAUAUAUAUAUAUAUAUUCUCUCCUAAAUUGUUAGCAAUAACUUCUCCAUUUUUUUUAUCCACUUUAAGUAAGAGGUAAGAAACCUAUAUUUCCACAAUAUUUUUAAUAUUUCUACACAUUAUAUUUUUAAAAAUAUCAAUUUCCAAGAAUAAUACACUUGUAUUUCUUUUUUCCAAACCCACUUGCUCAUAUAUCCCUUUUUUUUUUUAAUUUUUUUUUUUAAAAUUACAUAUAUUCAAAGGGGACUCAAAUCGGUGUAACAUCACCUUGACAGUUUCAAUAGUAGUAAUAUAAUAAUUUUUUUUUUGGUAGGUUUCUUUUCAAGAAUAACAUUACAUUACAUAGUUAAAACACACACACAAAAAAAAAUCCAUUAUAACCAUAGUUUUAAAGGCAACAAAUUAUGCAAACGGACUCCGUUAGUGAGAGGAAGAAGAUUAAAUAUUCCCCGAUCUCUUUCUUAGGAAAUUGGCCUUCAAAAAGCAAGUUAGUAACCUUCUAUGGCCACAAGUAGACAAGCUUUUACACCUGCAGAAAAAUUUUGAUAUUAACCUUCAGAUCUGUAUAGUAUAAACUGGAUCCCAGAAAUUAUUAUUAGAAAAAAACUAACAAAGAGAUAUGAUGGAGAGCCUUGAUUUAUUACAGAUCUGUAGAAUAAUUAUCACGUUAAAGAAAAACAAAUACAAGUAACAGGAAAAAGUAGUAGCUGUUAUGUAGAUGUAGAUGUAGAUGUAGAUCUAGAUCCAAACAGGAAAAGAAAGGGAAGGGGAGGAGCCAGAGGAAAUCAAUGGGAUGGGUGGAAUAGGAAAGAAUUUCUUUCACAGUAUCUAGAAAAACUUUUCUUUCCAAAUCACCCAUCCAAACAACUUCAUCUAGAUCUAUCUCCCUUUCCCUCUCUCUCUCUCUCUCUCUGUCGAACACGUUAUGGGGGUGUUGGGUUACAAGGAUAUGAUAGGAAAAGGAGUAACCUCAUGAAACCAUUGGAAUGGGAGGAAUUGGCAAGAAAAAUAGCGAAUUGAAGUUGUUUAUUUUUCUUGCUAAGCCCCCCACUACCUCUGCCUCCAUAAGACCCAUCUCCCUUUCCCCCUAUGCUCUUUUUCUUAUCUUAAAUGAAUAGACUAGCUUUGGUCUGAGGUGAGGCUAAUAAUUUAUAGAAAAGUAAAAUGAUCUUUUAUACAUGUU